GGAGUAACGCGUGGAUAACCUGCCUCACACUGGGGGAUAACAGUUAGAAAUGACUGCUAAUACCGCAUAAGCGCACAGUACCGCAUGGUACAGUGUGAAAAACUCCGGUGGUGUGAGAUGGAUCCGCGUCUGAUUAGCCAGUUGGCGGGGUAACGGCCCACCAAAGCGACGAUCAGUAGCCGACCUGAGAGGGUGACCGGCCACAUUGGGACUGAGACACGGCCCAA
Molecule: ribosomal RNA, 227 nt
Filed under: uncultured bacterium
Lineage: Bacteria
Description: partial 16S ribosomal RNA
Rfam family: Bacterial small subunit ribosomal RNA
Source: RNAcentral